This is a long non-coding RNA of Lontra canadensis (Northern American river otter), 305 nucleotides long. RefSeq lists it as uncharacterized. The record is from RefSeq and is a predicted model, not a curated record. Lineage: Eukaryota; Metazoa; Chordata; Mammalia; Carnivora; Mustelidae. The transcript has 3 exons.
UUUCCCCUCCCUUUUUUAUUGAAGGUGAGAGGUACUGAAUUGUCAACUGUGUUUCACGAUGGAGUGCCUUCCAUGAAGGACCUCAGUGCACCUUGCAAAUGUCAUGAGUCAUCAGAGCCCUUCUAUAAUGGAGGGAAGUAUCUGUGGUCACAAUUUUAUGGUUAAAGCAGCACAGGGAAGUAGAGAUCAGAAACAGAAAUGGACUUGUCACAAGAAAACUUAUGUUUACACACCAUAAAGAACUUCUUGAUUAAACUCUAGAACUUACGAGGGAGGAAAAUUGUCGGUCUUUGCUUCAGGAAAUC